UAAUGAGAACAAUAAUAAUUUAUUUUUAUUUUUAAGUAUUAAACUUGUUUGAUGCAGAGUGAAAUAUUUACUACCCCUUCCUCUUGUUCCCUGCUUCCACCAAACUAUAAAUAUAUGCCUGGCUGAGAUCGAGCAGUGAGUAACAAGAUAGAAACUCUCGACUAACUUCCGGGUUUCGGCAAAGGAACGCAUGCUGGAACGCACGCGUCAUCGGACGUCGGACGUGAUGACGUCAUAAUAUCGGGAAAUCAGCCCGGAUAACAGAGAAGAGACACCUGUAAAAUAUUAUUCAUUAUGUGGACACUGAGG
Non-coding RNA from Pelobates cultripes (western spadefoot toad), 309 nucleotides. The record is from the annotation of a GenBank genome assembly. NCBI's taxonomy places the organism in Eukaryota, Metazoa, Chordata, Amphibia, Anura, Pelobatidae.